Molecule: ribosomal RNA, 603 nt
Filed under: Trichophyton rubrum
Lineage: Eukaryota; Fungi; Ascomycota; Eurotiomycetes; Onygenales; Arthrodermataceae
Description: SSU rRNA
Rfam family: Eukaryotic small subunit ribosomal RNA
Source: RNAcentral
CAAUUGGAGGGCAAGUCUGGUGCCAGCAGCCGCGGUUAAUUCCAGCUCCAAUAGCGCAUAUUAAAGUUGUUGCAGUUAAAAAGCUCGUAGUUGAACCUUGGGCCUGGCUGGCCGGUCCGCCUCACGGCGUGCACUGGUCCGGCUGGGCCUUUCUCCUUGGGGAACCCCAUGGCCUUCACUGGCCGUGGGCGGAACCAGGGCUUUUACUGUGAAAAAAUUAGAGUGUUCAAAGCAGGCCUUUGCUCGGAUACAUUAGCAUGGAAUAAUAGAAUAGGACGUGUGGUUCUAUUUUGUUGGUUUCUAGGACCGCCGUAAUGAUUAAUAGGGAUAGUCGGGGGCGUCAGUAUUCGGCUGUCAGAGGUGAAAUUCUUGGAUUUGCCGAAGACUAACUACUGCGAAACCAUUCGCCAAGGAUGUUUUCAUUAAUCAGUGAACGAAAGUUAGGGGAUCGAAGACGAUCAGAUACCGUCGUAGUCUUAACCAUAAACUAUGCCGACUAGGGAUCGGACGGGGUUUCUUUUAUGACCCGUUCGGCACCUUACGAGAAAUCAAAGUUUUUGGGUUCUGGGGGGAGUAUGGUCGCAAGGCUGAAACUUAAAGAAA